UCGUGAUAACAUUAGCACAAGAAAACAAACUACCACCUCUUUUGGUACUGUAGAAACUUGAAUUAUAUAUAUUGGUGUUGGGCUACUGUAUUCACACUUUUCCAUGGCUAGUACCCCCCCGAUACUAACCAUAGUUUCAUCAAAACAAGCAACCAACUCAACAAAAAACAGAAUCUAUCAAAAACAGACCAGUCUGUAGCAAUCUGUAUACUUCGUAUACUUCUGGUACCUCCAAAAUUCUAAAAAAUUAUGACUGCCUAGGAAAAAG
RNAcentral lists this long non-coding RNA (268 nucleotides) under Hordeum vulgare. RNAcentral's name for it is "long non-coding RNA (HVUL_LNC020231)". The record is from RNAcentral. Lineage: Eukaryota; Viridiplantae; Streptophyta; Magnoliopsida; Poales; Poaceae.